This is a long non-coding RNA of Thunnus maccoyii (southern bluefin tuna), 2126 nucleotides long. RefSeq lists it as uncharacterized. The transcript has 7 exons. NCBI's taxonomy places the organism in Eukaryota, Metazoa, Chordata, Actinopteri, Scombriformes, Scombridae. The record is from RefSeq and is a predicted model, not a curated record.
GAGCUUUUUUUUCCCCUUGCAGACAAACACAGUGUCAUCUUUUGGGCAGCGUGGCAUGAACAACAUGACAACACAGAUAUUUGGCUACAUUGUGAUAUGGAGGACAGAGAGUGGUCUGAAAUUUGAGGAGGAUGUGUCUGAGGAUGAGGAUGAUGUUGGCGAAAGAGGUGCCAGUCCUGCCCUGCAAGCAAGGACAGAAAAACCAGCCACACAUGUUUUCGGAGCUGAUACCAACCCCCCUCUAUAAGCCUUGCAGACUCUGCUUCUCAAAACUUUUUCCAGGUCUUCAGUUUGUGUCGUCCUCCGUCUUUAGCUUGUUUGAAAUCAUCCGACCAGACAAAGCAAGAAAGAGACAGCAGAGAGAGAAGUGAAGCAACAUAAAAAGAGACGAAAUUAACGGCAGCAGAAAGAAAAUCUACACACUAGACGAGAAGAGCGAGAAGGAGGAAACUCAUGGCAGUGGAGAGCAGGUGAACCCAAGUGCAGACACUCAAAGUUGAGGAGGCAGGGAUAUAGUAGGAACAAUGUAUUUAUUUUAAAAGGUGGGGGUAAAGGGAAAUGCGGGUCUGGGGAAGGUGGGGCUGAGGCUUGUGCUGAAAGCUGGAGAGAGCGGGGGUCCAGGGCAGGGAAGCGGGGCUGAUGAAAUGACGGGGACAGGAGACAGGGACCAGAGCCAGAGCAGAUGGAACUGCAGGGAUCAGGAGACCGGGUUAGGCAACGGAAACCAGAGCCGUGUCAAAGAGGAAUUUCUGUUACUUCAGGUGCAUUUCAAUCCUCUUAUUUGAUCGUUCCUCACUCCUGGAAAGACCUGGAAAUUAUUCCGGUCUGUCAUCCUGAAGGCCGUCCCAAUACACUUAUUUCUGCUCUGAGGAGCGAGGAGGGAUCUCUGAGGAGCCAUGAGCGAGGAUGCACGAGAGCAGCCUUCCCGAAAGACGUUUAGCUCAAUGUCACGAUGUGUAAAUACUCUCUACGUCUGGCACUAUUGGACGAGUUCGGUGAAGAAACAGUACAAGUAUGAGUGCCCGUUAUAUUCUUUUUGUUAAAGGCUCCAAAGAGCGAUGACAUUUAAUACAAGAAGAUGGGGAUCCUAAACAUUGUCACGUUUCAAUUAAGUUUAUUUCAUCCACAACCUGUUCUGUUAUGUAAUAAGUCUCACUAACAGCACCCUCUUAAGGUUGUCCUUGACUGACAGGAAGUAUGCCUCAUUUAACAGGGAAAGACGAAGACACGGCAAAGCUUAUAUUGUACAGGUCGGGAAAUGACCACCUCAUCACGAUGAAGAGGUAUACAGCCAAGAAAGCCUGGGGGGAUGCAAUAAGAUGACAUGUUUGUUCUCCACAAGAAAGUAAUGAGGAUCAUGGGCAUGGAGGGAAAACUUACCUCCACUCACCUCCAUUCAAAGAAUCUGACAAUUUAAAGAGGAAAUAUAAGAUUUUGUAUUUAUUACAGGCUCAGUGCACUUCCAUAUAAGCAUUUGUGACUUUUGUUAUUUUACAUAAUGCAUCACAUUCUUGUUGUUUCAGUGUGUCUGCAUGAAAAAAAUCCCUUGUUUGAUUUCUUCCAGGAGCUCAAAAAUCCUUUAGCAUGGUAGGGGACUGAUGGAGGGGAGGCCACUGUGGUUUUCCCAGAUGCAUUAGGACAUCGGGAUGCAGCCCUCAAAUGAUCCCCCAGUCCUGAUGUACUCGUGUAGGAGGAAACCAUGCCUCCGGUGGCAGUGGCUCAUCAUUUGCUGAAGCUGGAGCUGCUACUUGUGGCCAGGCAUGUGAGGAGGAAGAGGAUACUGCACAACCUGGCACAUCUAGCGGCUCCACCGCACAGGCGGAUGAUGAGCCAUCCACCUCUGCUUGUCCCCCACCCACCAAGAGACCACAUAUCUCCACAGGGACAUUAAUGGCAUUUUUAAAGGAGACAGAAAAGCAUGAAUAACAGUUCCAGGCUGGGCAAGCAAACAAUAAAAGAUUGUGGAUUUGUUUGAGGAAUAAGUUAGAAAGCCAUAAAUUUAUAAUUUCAUUCAUUUAUCAUGUAUUUAUUUAUUUAAUGUCAUAUGUAUUAUUAUCCAUCUGUCUAUCUAUCUAUCUAGGGAACUGAUACUGAACCUUGAAGAAAUAAAGUUAAGCUUUGAUUUA